GCCAGGAUGGCCGAAUGGAUAUGGCAUCAGAUCUGUGAAACUUACUGAUGUCUGUCACACACCCUGUUGAGUGUAAUGUCUACUCUGGGGAAACAAAACGGGCUUCGAUUGCUGUAAAUACCCGUGCUUGCAAAAUUAGGUUUAGUGUAAAUAAUGUAAAAAGCAUUGUGCGUUAUGAAAAGUAUACUGUGUGUGAUAGAUAUCAGUGAUUUCGCAUCAUCUGAUUCGCUGUGUGCGUUGUGGGUUCGAAUCCCGCUCCUGGUU
Non-coding RNA from Araneus ventricosus, 264 nucleotides. The record is from the annotation of a GenBank genome assembly. NCBI's taxonomy places the organism in Eukaryota, Metazoa, Arthropoda, Arachnida, Araneae, Araneidae.